This 292-nucleotide ribosomal RNA is filed under the name uncultured bacterium. RNAcentral's name for it is "partial 16S ribosomal RNA". It matches the Rfam family "Bacterial small subunit ribosomal RNA", at positions 505 to 796 of the family's 1533-position model. The record is from RNAcentral.
GUGCCAGCAGCCGCGGUAAGACGAACCGUGCGAACGUUGUUCGGAAUCACUGGGCUUAAAGGGCGCGUAGGCGGUUUGCCAAGUCAGGGGUGAAAUCUUGCAGCUCAACUGCAAAAGUGCCUUUGAUACUGGUGAACUCGAGGGAGGUAGGGGUCGCUGGAACUUCUGGUGGAGCGGUGAAAUGCGUUGAUAUCAGAAGGAACGCCGGUGGCGAAAGCGAGCGACUGGAUCUCUACUGACGCUGAGGCGCGAAAGCCAGGGGAGCAAACGGGAUUAGAAACCCUGGUAGUCC